RNAcentral lists this transfer RNA (84 nucleotides) under Solirubrobacterales bacterium. It matches the Rfam family "tRNA". From Rfam's summary of the family: Transfer RNA (tRNA) molecules are approximately 80 nucleotides in length. Lineage: Bacteria; Bacillati; Actinomycetota; Thermoleophilia; Solirubrobacterales. RNAcentral also lists the same sequence under 1 other name. The record is from Rfam by way of RNAcentral.
GCGGCUGUGGUGAAAUUGGCAAACACGCGGCGUUCAGGUCGCCGUGGGCGCAAGCCCUUGGAGGUUCGAGUCCUCUCAGCCGCA